UACGGGGGGGGGCAAGCGUUGUUCGGAAUUACUGGGCGUAAAGGGCCAGUAGGCGGCCAACUAAGUCCGACGUGAAAUCCCAAGGCUUAACCUUGGAACUGCGUCGGAUACUGGAUGGCUUGAAUUCGGGAGAGGGAUGCAGAAUUCCAGGUGUAGCGGUGAAAUGCGUAGAUAUCUGGAGGAAUACCGGUGGCGAAGGCGGCAUCCUGGACCGACAUUGACGCUGAACGGCGAAAGCCAGGGGAGCAAACGGG
RNAcentral lists this ribosomal RNA (254 nucleotides) under uncultured bacterium. Its description in RNAcentral is "partial 16S ribosomal RNA". It matches the Rfam family "Bacterial small subunit ribosomal RNA", at positions 524 to 776 of the family's 1533-position model. The record is from RNAcentral.